Molecule: signal recognition particle RNA, 263 nt
Filed under: Candidatus Nanohaloarchaea archaeon
Lineage: Archaea; Methanobacteriati; Methanobacteriota; Candidatus Nanohaloarchaea
Description: signal recognition particle sRNA
Rfam family: Archaeal signal recognition particle RNA
Source: RNAcentral
UGGCAGGCCGGGCGGCUUGGGGUCGCCUCUGUCCGGAAAUCCUCGUGAUGCCGGAGCCGUCAACCAGGGAGCGGCGUCUCCUCUGAGGUUUCCAGCCCUCUUCGGUUCGCUGAGGGUCCGUCCUCCGGGAUACUCUUGGUCGUGAACCGGGUCAGGCCUUGACGGGAGCAGCCCUAAGCGGUCAGGCGUAUGUUCGGAGGGUGGCGGACCUGAGACCUGAGGAGGUUUACUGGGUCUCGAGGAACGUCCAUCCCCGGGAGCCA